Molecule: long non-coding RNA, 286 nt
Filed under: Elaeis guineensis (African oil palm)
Lineage: Eukaryota; Viridiplantae; Streptophyta; Magnoliopsida; Arecales; Arecaceae
Description: long non-coding RNA (EGUI_LNC027824)
Source: RNAcentral
AGCAGGAGUUCAGGGCGGAAGUUUGGCUCCCAUGGGAGCCCGGACAAAGCCUACCUGUAGCUAGAGUCAGAGGCGAAGCCCGGCUCCCAUAAAAGCUCGGAUGAAGUCUUCCUACAGUCAAAGUUGGAGACAGAGUCUGGAUCCCAUAGGAGUCCGGAUGAAGCCUACCUGCAGUCGAAGUUGGAGACGGAGUCCGGCUCCCAUAGGAGUCCAGACGAAGCCUACCUGUGAUUGAAGUUAUGGGCGGAGUCCGGCUCCCGUAGGAGUCCGGACGAGGUCUGCCUGU